This 62-nucleotide non-coding RNA is filed under the name unclassified sequences. RNAcentral describes it as "nhaA-I". It matches the Rfam family "nhaA-I RNA". Rfam says of the family: Acidobacteria, Alphaproteobacteria, Betaproteobacteria and Gammaproteobacteria, Verrucomicrobia, cand. division NC10. Downstream gene The record is from RNAcentral.
GGGUGUCGUACAACCAUUGUUCGUGCGACAGGUAAGCAUAGUGUGAUGGCCGGGCCGCCUCA